AUUUAUAAAUUUGAUUAUGAAAAUAAUUAAAAAUAUAUAUUACUUAAUAUAUAUAUAUAAUACAUGUCUUCAAAUAAGAUAUUUACGUUAUCUAAUUUCACGAAUGUUGACUAUAUUUAACAUCUACAAAUAAGACUUUAGUUUAUAUUCACAAGUUAAAGAUCACAAAUCAGUAUACUAAAAAUAGAAUAAAACUAAAAAUCACAUGUUUAAUAUAUUAUUUUUAUCUAAUUUUUGAAUUCUCAAAC
RNAcentral lists this long non-coding RNA (248 nucleotides) under Brassica rapa (field mustard). RNAcentral describes it as "long non-coding RNA (BRAP_LNC001970)". The record is from RNAcentral. Lineage: Eukaryota; Viridiplantae; Streptophyta; Magnoliopsida; Brassicales; Brassicaceae.